UCCCAGCACUUUAUCAACAAAUAAUUGCGGACAAAGUGCUGGGCAGUCUCGCGUGACACGUAUAACACACGAUGAGGGUUGCGUUCGUUACCCCACUUAAGGGAACAGUUCAGACCACGAACUGACGACGGCCAUGCAUCACCUGCCUACGAGCCCGAAGGCUUCCAACGUUUCUGCUGGAAUUCCCGUAGGUUUCAAACCCUGGUGAGGUUCUUCGCUUAUCGUCGAAUUAAACCACAUGCUCCACUGCUUGUGCGAGCCCCCGUCUAUUCCUUUGAGUUUUAAGCUUGCGCUCGUACUACCCAGGUGCCUCACUUAACGCGUUAGCUUCGCCUCUAAGAGGGUCGAUACUCCUAAAAGCUAGUGAGGAACGUUUAGGGCCAGGACUAC
This 390-nucleotide unclassified non-coding RNA is filed under the name uncultured bacterium. Its description in RNAcentral is "contains 16S-23S intergenic spacer region". The record is from RNAcentral.